RNAcentral lists this ribosomal RNA (484 nucleotides) under uncultured bacterium. Its description in RNAcentral is "partial 16S ribosomal RNA". It matches the Rfam family "Bacterial small subunit ribosomal RNA", at positions 30 to 507 of the family's 1533-position model. The record is from RNAcentral.
AUUGAACGCUGGCGGCAGGCCUAACACAUGCAAGUCGAGCGGAUGAAGGGAGCUUGCUCCUGGAUUCAGCUGCGGACGGGUGAGUAAUGCCUAGGAAUCUGCCUGGUAGUGGUGUAUAACGUCCGGAAACGGGCGCUAAUACCGCAUACGUCCUGAGGGAGAAAGUGUGGGAUCUUCGGACCUCACGCUAUCACAUGAUCCUAGGUCGGAUUAGCUAGUUGGUGGGGUAAAGGCCUACCAAGGCGACGAUCCGUAACUGGUCUGAGAGGAUGAUCAGUCACACUGGAACUGAGACACGGUCCAGACUCCUACGGGAGGCAGCAGUGGGGAAUAUUGGACAAUGGGCGAAAGCCUGAUCCAGCCAUGCCGCGUGGGUGAAGAAGGUCUUCGGAUUGUAAAGCACUUUAAGUUGGGAGGAAGGGCAGUAAGUUAAUACCUUGCUGUUUUGACGUUACCGAAAGAAUAAGCACCGGCUAACUUCGUG